RNAcentral lists this ribosomal RNA (118 nucleotides) under Danio rerio (zebrafish). The record is from RNAcentral. Lineage: Eukaryota; Metazoa; Chordata; Actinopteri; Cypriniformes; Danionidae.
GGCCACAGCUAUUUCACCCUACGGCUCAAGACCGGGUUACUCACUGAAACUAAGCAGGGCUGAACCUGGUCAGUAUCUGGAUGGAAGACCACAUGGGAAAACUAGAUUGCUGUUGGAA